AAGUCGUAACAAGGUAACCGUAGGUGAACCUGCGGUUGGAUCAUUAAUAAAUCUGACUGGCCUCAAGGCCUUUCUAACACUUGUGUAUAGUAAUUGUUUCUUUGGCGGAUGCAAGUCCGUGUUAAACUCUGUAAUAAUUUUUGCCUAUAAAUUUUAAUGAAUAAUUAAAAACAACUUUUGACAACGGAUCUCUAGGCUCUCA
Molecule: unclassified non-coding RNA, 202 nt
Filed under: fungal sp.
Lineage: Eukaryota; Fungi
Description: partial internal transcribed spacer region
Rfam family: Eukaryotic small subunit ribosomal RNA (bases 1-46)
Source: RNAcentral